RNAcentral lists this transfer RNA (88 nucleotides) under Sphingomonas bisphenolicum. Its description in RNAcentral is "tRNA-Leu". The record is from RNAcentral. Lineage: Bacteria; Pseudomonadati; Pseudomonadota; Alphaproteobacteria; Sphingomonadales; Sphingomonadaceae.
CGCCUGGGUGCCGGGGCUGGCGGGAUCGGACAGGGCGGUCAUGAAGGCGGCAUAGCCUUCGCGCAGUCCCGACUCCGCGCCGGGCGCC